CCCUAGCCUCCCUAAAAAACCCUAGCCACCCCGAAUCAGUCUCAGCCCACUCCCGUGCGUGCUGGAUAGGGUUCCCCGCCACCCUCACCGGUCGCCGCCGCCCUCACCGGUCGCCGCCGCCGUCGGUUUCCCCUACAUGGCCAGAGGAUAGGCCAUCCCGCCGGUCCAUUCCCACCCCACCACGAGGGAGGAGACCGACCGGUUGCGCCUCCCCGCCGGUCGCCGCCCGCCACCCCAAGGAUCAAGGCCGGCCGCGCCGGUCCCCGUCGGUCGCUGCUCCGGAUCCAGGCCGCCCACCGCCCCGCCCCCGUCAGCCCGAUCUAUUUCCCACCGGAUCCCAUCUUCGCCUCCGUCCGACGCGCCUUCUUCAAGGAGCUGCGACCCCAUGUCUCAGAGGAGCUAUCCCCGACGCCAUUGAUGCCCGAGCGACGCUCCCAAGCUAUGACGUACCCCGCCGCAAGGAGGCCAGGAGGCCUCCAUGGAGGCCCGUCCCGAGCUCGCCUCGCUGCUCCUCCGGUGACCCUCGUUGCGCCUGGAUCCGGGCGGAUCCGACGAUUCCCCGAUGCGCAGGCGGGCCGGCACGCGGCGCUAGGCGAAGGAGCCCUCCCAUGGCGGUGUCAAUUGCAUGCUGCAGUAGCUGGGAUAGAUGGUAGCAGUGGUGGUCAAGACGACAAGUGACAGCGGGCGCACCUGAUACCAAGAUGCCAAGGUGGUCGUGGGUCUCGCGCUCGGACAGUUCAUCUUGCUGCUUAUGACCUCCAUCAGAUUCUCCUCCGAGCUUGCCUGCCGAGAUGCCAGCACUGCUUGUUUGUAUAGAUGCUCAAGAAGACUGCUCAAAGGAGGACAGUUUGUAGGACAGUUUGUGUGACACUUUGAUGUUGCAGAUGCGAGCACUACCUGUUUGUAUAAAUGCUGAAGGAGAAAACUGUUCGGAGAAGGACAUGUGUGAGAGAGAGAGAGGGAAGGAGAAACAGGGGCCGGGAGUAAGAGGUGAAGAGCAAGGAGAACCACAUGUUGUCCCUUUGUCAUCGACACCAUCCCGCCGUUGCAGGCUUGUCCCCAUGGCCUCUCUCUUGUGAGCUGUUACCCUGCCCUGGUUCUUUGUCUCUGCCUCUUUCAUGGUUUCUUCCUUUCGAAGAUUUCUUUUUUGUCUCCCUUCUAAAGGUAAGUUCUGCCUUAGCAUCCUUCAUGUUGUAACACAAACAAAAUAUUAGUGAUCUGACAGCAACACCAUUUUCUGUUGAGUUAUUUAAUUUAGAUGAUUGCUGCUAUACAACUUGACUGCCAAAGUCUGUAGCAUUUUCUACUUGAUAAAUAAAGAACCAGGUCACACCAUUUUCUUUACUUUAUUAUUCAGAUUAUAUGCAGGAGUUUUGGUGUGGAUUAUAGAUUCUAAAGUUACUCUUAGCUUGUCAGCUUUGUUGAUCCUAAUUUACGAUGUUCACCAAGGAUUAUAGACCAUGGUACCUUCAUCUGUUGUCGACAAUUUCCUCUUUCAGAUUUGAUGUUAGUUUGUACAAGCUAGUGGGUUGUGCUUAGAUGGUAUGGUUUCUCUGCUAUUUAGAAACUACACUUAACACUCAUAAAGUACAAUGAUCGGAUCCUAAACUGAAAUAUUUAUUUUGGCGGGUUUAAAAUUUGAUGUGGGAUGGGCAUACGAGUUUGAUGUUUGCAGUCCUCUCAGAGCUGCAAGUCGCUCGACAACACGACAAAUUCAGUUACAGAUUUUUACCAAAUCUAACUGAAAUAAAGUUCAGUUCAGCAAACCAUGUCUGUUGGAAGGAAGCAAAUUUCUUGCCUUCCGAAUCCUACGUAGCCAUCAUAUUUUAUUUCAGACUGAAUAGUCCCAGCUCAGUGUAUCCUUGCUAAAAUAAGAACAUCAUUUUUUUAGGGGAUGCCACAAAACAAAAACUGACCAGGACUGCAUCUCUCAUAUUUUCUUGCUUAGAUUGUUAAUCUGAAUUCGUGUUUGAUAUUGUAGUAUGGAGGUUUCACCAUGAUGCAUGUUCUGUUGUCGUUUGUUUUCCAACUGCUUUGAUAUUAAUUUACAAGAUAGUAAGUUUUAUACAUGUGGUUGGAUGUCAAUCUUUACAGUUUGAUGACUAGAUUUAUCCAAGGAAGAAAAACUGAUAUUACUAAUUAUGUGAUAUAUAGAUGCAGAUCCGAGUUGCCAUAAUGGAAUAUGGAUGGACAACACAAAAUAGCCCAGUUCCUUAAUUUUGUGUUUGAUGGAAGUAUAUGGUUCAGCCUGUACUGUCCAACAUAAAUUGACACAAACCUGUGCGCGUUUACUCUGAACGAUAACAAUAGUCUUGCAAGCUUGAUCCCCAUCAUAAAUCGAAUACUCUUGAUUUGCUUCAGAUGACGGAAGCUUGGGUUGAUGGAGUGCUUGUCUUUAGUUUUUGUUUUGACUUUGUGAAACUUGCUACCUAUGAUGAAAUUGUGUAAUAUUGACGAAACUAUGUAUAUGUAUGGAUGAAACUUGCUACUAUUGGUAACAUGUGUUGGAUAUGUG
This 2515-nucleotide ribosomal RNA is filed under the name Triticum aestivum (bread wheat). Its description in RNAcentral is "partial small subunit ribosomal RNA". The record is from RNAcentral. Lineage: Eukaryota; Viridiplantae; Streptophyta; Magnoliopsida; Poales; Poaceae.